UGGGGAAUUUUGGACAAUGGGCGAAAGCCUGAUCCAGCAAUGCCGCGUGUGUGAAGAAGGCCUUCGGGUUGUAAAGCACUUUUGUCCGGAAAGAAAUCCUUGGCUCUAAUACAGUCGGGGGAUGACGGUACCGGAAGAAUAAGCACCGGCUAACUACGUGCCAGCAGCCGCGGUAAUACGUAGGGUGCAAGCGUUAAUCGGAAUUACUGGGCGUAAAGCGUGCGCAGGCGGUUUGCUAAGACCGAUGUGAAAUCCCCGGGCUCAACCUGGGAACUGCAUUGGUGACUGGCAGGCUAGAGUAUGGCAGAGGGGGGUAGAAUUCCACGUGUAGCAGUGAAAUGCGUAGAGAUGUGGAGGAAUACCGAUGGCGAAGGCAGCCCCCUGGGCCAAUACUGACGCUCAUGCACGAAAGCGUGGGGGAGCAAACAGGAUUAGAUACCCUGGUAGUCCACGCCACUAAACGAUGUCAACUAGUUGUUGGGGGAUUCAUUUCCUUAGUAACGUAGCUAACGCGUGAAGUUGACCGCCUGGGGAGUACGGUCGCAAGAUUAAAACU
Molecule: ribosomal RNA, 556 nt
Filed under: uncultured bacterium
Lineage: Bacteria
Description: partial 16S ribosomal RNA
Rfam family: Bacterial small subunit ribosomal RNA
Source: RNAcentral